GUAUCUUGGUAAACUAUAUUUUCAGAGUAGCUUCCCUAACACUGUUAGAUAGCAACAUUAUGUGCUACAUUAGGGUACAUUAUAUGGGGACUACCAAAUAGUGACGCAGCUGAAUAGUGAAAGUACGCAGUCAGUGGUGAUCGUUGAGGUGCCACUACCGAGGCUGGAGUGACACAGGGGCAAGGAGUGGCUCACUCUACAGGGGGCGUGGCAGGCACCAACAGUGACCGAGGCCGCACCACAGCUACAGUAGCAGCAAGCAGGAAGUAACCUGGCGGAGGUGUGUGUAUGGGAAGCCACUCAUAGUGGAACCAGAAACUACAGUGCUGCAGGCGUGUGAGAAGGUGGGAGUGCAUGUUCCUCGCUUCUGUUACCAUUAGCGCCUGUCAGUUACAGGCAACUGUCCACUGUGUCGCAAGGAGAUUGAGAAAUCUCUAAAGGACCAGUGACCGGAGCCGCUUCUUAGAGAGCUGUGGAGGACAAGAACAUUGGUCCCUUCAUCAAGACCGUCAUGACCCGCUGUAUCCAGUCCACCCACUGUGUCCGCUUUGCCAGUGAGAUUACAGGUGUGGAGGAUCUGGGGACCACUGGCAGGGGACCUGCAGAUUGGCAUUCGUGUGGAGAAGAUGUUCAUGUCGGCGCUGUCUGGGAAUGUGAUUGACGUACGCCCUCUGGGAGCAUUGACUUCCAAGCUGUAUGCCCUCACUUCCUGUCCCUGGGAGACCAGGAAGACUGAAUCCAUUGACGUGCUGGAUGCUGUGGGCAGCAACAUCGUGGUGAGCACCCGGGGGUGGUGAGAUCAUGAGGAGUUUGCCCCCCC
This is a non-coding RNA of Salvelinus sp. IW2-2015, 820 nucleotides long. NCBI's taxonomy places the organism in Eukaryota, Metazoa, Chordata, Actinopteri, Salmoniformes, Salmonidae. The record is from RefSeq and is a predicted model, not a curated record.